GACGAACGCUGGCGGCGUGCUUAACACAUGCAAGUCGAACGAUGAAGCCGGAGCUUGCUCUGGUGAAUUAGUGGCGAACGGGUGAGUAACACGUGAGUAACCUGCCCUUGACUCUGGGAUAACUGCUAGAAAUGGUAGCUAAUACCGGAUACGACCCUCGGCGGCAUCGCCAGGGGGUGGAAAGAAUUUCGGUCAAGGAUGGGCUCGCGGCCUAUCAGCUUGUUGGUGAGGUAACGGCUCACCAAGGCGACGACGGGUAGCCGGCCUGCGAGGGUGACCGGCCACACUGGGACCGAGACACGGCCCAGACUCCUACGGGAGGCAGCAGUGGGGAAUAUUGCACAAUGGGCGCAAGCCUGAUGCAGCAACGCCGCGUGAGGGAUGACGGCCUUCGGGUUGUAAACCUCUUUUAGUAGGGAAGAAGCGAAAGUGACGGUACCUGCAGAAAAAGCACCGGCUAACUACGUGCCAGCCGCCGCCGUAA
This 484-nucleotide ribosomal RNA is filed under the name uncultured bacterium. RNAcentral's name for it is "partial 16S ribosomal RNA". It matches the Rfam family "Bacterial small subunit ribosomal RNA", at positions 28 to 523 of the family's 1533-position model. The record is from RNAcentral.